Triticum aestivum (bread wheat) is the source of this 108-nucleotide non-coding RNA. The record is from Rfam. NCBI's taxonomy places the organism in Eukaryota, Viridiplantae, Streptophyta, Magnoliopsida, Poales, Poaceae.
UAUAUACUCCCUCCGUCCGAAAAAGAUUGUCCCUCAAAUGGAUGUAUCUACUUAGUGCUAGAUGCAUCCAUUUGAGGGACAAAUUUUUUCGGACGGAGGGAGUACUUA